AACGAACGCUGGCGGCAUGCCUAACACAUGCAAGUCGAACGAGACCUUCGGGUCUAGUGGCGCACGGGUGCGUAACGCGUGGGGAUCUGCCCUUUGCUUCGGAAUAACAGUUAGAAAUGACUGCUAAUACCGGAUGAUGUCGUAAGACCAAAGAUUUAUCGGCAAAGGAUGAACCCGCGUAGGAUUAGCUAGUUGGUGGGUAAAGGCCUACCAAGGCGACGAUCCUUAGCUGGUCUGAGAGGAUGAUCAGCCACACUGGGACUGAGACACGGCCCAGACUCCUACGGGAGGCAGCAGUGGGGAAUAUUGGACAAUGGGCGAAAGCCUGAUCCAGCAAUGCCGCGUGAGUGAUGAAGGCCUUCGGGUGUAAAGCUCUUUUACCACGGAUGAUAAUGACAGUACCUGGAGAAUAAGCUCCGGCUAACUCCGUGCCAGCAGCCGCGGUAA
RNAcentral lists this ribosomal RNA (447 nucleotides) under uncultured bacterium. RNAcentral describes it as "bacterial SSU rRNA". It matches the Rfam family "Bacterial small subunit ribosomal RNA", at positions 29 to 523 of the family's 1533-position model. The record is from RNAcentral.